AAAAUAUAAAAUAAAAUAAAAUACAAAACAGUUGUAGUUACUGACAGUGACCACUGGAGGGCAAUGAUCGUGUCCCGACAUCGUGUAGUUCAUCAUUUCACCGCUAGAUGGAGACGACUCUCCAUUACACGUAAUUUUAAUGCCGAAGAAGACGAAACCGGAAGUAAUGAACAGGUGUCGGUUAAUUAACCUGAUUUAUGUUAAGUUAGCAACGUAACUUCGGUCUCAAGUUAACGUUGUUUUUCCUAAAAUGAACUCGCGACUCUAUGAAGAGGGAAAUAAAUAAAUGAAUGUAGAUAUCGAGAGUUAUGUCCAGGUGGAGAACAUGCUGAUGGAUCAGAAUAACCAGAGCAGCCUCAGGACGACACCACAGACAUUAACCUGGACGGGAGGAUCUGAGCGGAGAGAUUCAGGUGGAGAAAUCCCUCCUGAGAAAAACUAAAUGUUAACCAGAAAUCCUGAUGAACAACACUAAACACAUAAAGAUGAACUGUACAGUGAAGAAGAACCUUAGAAACCAGGUCCCUGCUCUUCUCCAGUGUAAAAGCUCCUCCUCAUUACCUGGGGUCCACGUUGGCUGUGGCCUCGUCGAUGAUGAGGAUGCGGUUCUUCCUGAGGAUGGCUCUGGCCAGACACACCAGCUGCCUCUGUCCCACGCUGAAGUUGGAGCCG
Molecule: long non-coding RNA, 672 nt
Organism: Mugil cephalus (flathead mullet)
Lineage: Eukaryota; Metazoa; Chordata; Actinopteri; Mugiliformes; Mugilidae
Exons: 3
Source: RefSeq, a predicted model, not a curated record